AAUAAAUUGACUGAAUAAAAGUAUUAGUUUUUUAAACUAAAUUAUAAUAAAAUUAAUUA
This 59-nucleotide transfer RNA is filed under the name Diptera sp. 66 LC-2017. RNAcentral's name for it is "tRNA-Lys". The record is from RNAcentral. Lineage: Eukaryota; Metazoa; Arthropoda; Insecta; Diptera.